GCUUACGGCCAUACCACCUUAGGCACGCCCGAUCUCGUCUGAUCUCGGAAGCUAAGCAGGGUCGGGGCUGGUUAGUACUUGGAUGGGUGACCGCCUGGGAAUACCAGGUGCUGUAAGCA
Ribosomal RNA from Gadus morhua (Atlantic cod), 119 nucleotides. Lineage: Eukaryota; Metazoa; Chordata; Actinopteri; Gadiformes; Gadidae. The record is from Ensembl.